UAGCUCGAGUUUCUCUUCAUUGUCGCAUAAAUCUUUCGCCUUUUACUAAAGAUUUCCGUGGAGGGGAACUUUUGCGAGUGACAUGUAUUUUUGGGUGCUCUGCUCACUGCAGAGCU
Small nuclear RNA from Carassius auratus (goldfish), 116 nucleotides. Its record names the gene U5. It matches the Rfam family "U5 spliceosomal RNA". From Rfam's summary of the family: U5 RNA is a component of both types of known spliceosome. The precise function of this molecule is unknown, though it is known that the 5' loop is required for splice site selection and p220 binding, and that both the 3' stem-loop and the Sm site are important for Sm protein binding and cap methylation. Lineage: Eukaryota; Metazoa; Chordata; Actinopteri; Cypriniformes; Cyprinidae. The record is from Ensembl.